Molecule: ribosomal RNA, 253 nt
Filed under: uncultured bacterium
Lineage: Bacteria
Description: partial 16S ribosomal RNA
Rfam family: Bacterial small subunit ribosomal RNA
Source: RNAcentral
GACGGAAGGUGCAAGCGUUGCUCGGAAUCACUGGGCGUAAAGGGUGCGUAGGCGGCUUGGUAAGUUGGGUGUGAAAGCCCCGGGCUCAGCCCGGGAAGGGCACUCGAAACUGCCGAGCUGGAGUGCCGGAGGGGAGAGUGGAAUUCCUGGUGUAGCGGUGAAAUGCGUAGAGAUGUGGAGGAACACCAGUGGCGAAGGCGACUCUUUGGCCUGUAACUGACACUGAGGCGCGAAAGCGUGGGGAGCAAACAGG